Homo sapiens (human) is the source of this 2431-nucleotide RNA transcript. It is a transcript of the gene named DNA topoisomerase I pseudogene 1, with no coding region annotated. The record is from RefSeq and is marked validated. The transcript has a single exon. Lineage: Eukaryota; Metazoa; Chordata; Mammalia; Primates; Hominidae.
GUGAUAGACACUUAAUGUUCAUUUAUUUAUUUACUCACUGAAUGAAUGAAUGAUUGACAUUGGGACAUCAUGAAAGUUUACUGACAGAAAUAAGUAAACUUCAUGAAAAGUAGAACAUCGUGGAAGUUUACUGACAGGAAUAAGUAAAUAAGUAAGUUUACUGACAGAAAUAGGUAUGAAUAAUGCCUUCAUAUUAAUAUAUAAUAUGCUCAUAUCUGUGGAAAGUUCAGUCCACGUACACCAAGUAUGGCCUUCUCAACUCACAAUUCACACCAAUAAAAAAAUUUAGGUACAUAUGAUGCUUUCUGGUCAUGUUCAUUCAUUCAACAGCUGUUCUAUUUGGACUGAUCAGACGUUGUUCUCACAUCAAAUCCAAGAACUGAAAACAUUAUUUAAAGUUUCUCUCGAGUUUUUAAGAACCUACAACUAUUUAUGGAGAAAAAGCAGCCCAAGGAUGAUCUUUUUGAUAGACUCAAUACUGGUAUUCUGAAUAAGCAUCUCCAGGAUCUCAUGGAGAGCUUGACAGCCAAGGUAUUCCAUACAUACAAUGCCUCCAUCACGCUACAGCAGCAGCUAGAAGAACUCACAGCCCCGGAUGAGAACAUCCCAGCGAAGAUCCUUUCUUAUAACCGUGCCAAUCGAGCUGUUGCAAUUCUUUGUAACCAUCAGAGGGCACCACCAAAAACUUUUGAGAAGUCUAUGAUGAACUUGCAAACUAAGAUUGAUGCCAAGAAGGAACAGCUAGCAGAUGCCCGGAGAAACCUGAAAAGUGCUAAGGCUGAUGCCAAGGUCAUGAAAGAUGCAAAGAUGAAGAAGGUAGUAGAGUCAAAGAAGAAGGCUGUUCAGAGACUGGAGGAACAGUUGAUGAAGCUGGAAGUUCAAGCCACAGACCGAGAGGAAAAUAAACAGAUGGCCUUGGGAACCUCCAAACUCAAUUAUCUGGAUGCUAGGAUCACUGUGCCUUGGUGCAAGAAGUGGGGUGUCCCAAUUGAGAAGAUUUACAACAAAACCCAGCGAGAAAAGUUUGCCUGGGCCAUUGAAAUCGCUGAUGAAGACUACGAGUUUUAGCCAGUCUCAAGAGGCAGGGUUCUGUGAAAAGGAACAGUGUGGUUUGGGAAAGAUGGAUAAACUGAGCCUCGCUUGCCCUCGUGCCUGGGUGAGAGAGGCAGCAAGUCUUAACAAACCAACAUCUUUGCAAAAAGCUAAACCUGGAGAUAUUAUAAGGGACAGCUGAGCCAGUUGUCCUACGGACAACUUAUUUAAAAAUAUUUCAGCUAUCAAAAUUCUAGCUGUAUGAUUUGUUUUGAAUUUUGUUUUUAUUUUCCAGAGGGCAAGUGGAUGGGAAUUUGUCAGCGUUCUACCAGGCAAAUUCACUGUUUCACUGAAAUGUUUGGAUUCUCUUAGCUACUGUAUGCAAAGUCCGAUUAUGUUGGUGUGUUUUUACAGUUAGGGUUUUGCAAUAACUUCUAUAUUUUAAUAGAAAUAAAUUCCUAAACUCCCUCCCCUCUCCCCCAUUUCAGGAAUUUAAAAUUAAGUAGAACAAAAAACCCAGUGCGCCUGUUAGAGUCGUCACUGUCUAUUGUCAUAGGGAUCAAUUUUCAUUAAACUUGAAGCAGUCGUCGCUUUGGCAGUGUUUUGGUUCAGACACCUGUUCACAGAAAAGCAUGAUGGGAAAAUAUUUCCUGACUUGAGUGUUCCUUUUUAGAUGUGAAUUUUUAUUUCUUUUUAAUUAUUUUAAAAUAUUUAAACCUUUUUCUUGAUCUUAAAGAUCAUGUAGAUUGGGGUUGGGGAGGGAUGAAGGGCGAGUGAGUCUAAGGAUAAUGAAAUAAUCAGUGACUGAAACCAUUUUCCCAUCAUCCUUUGUUCUGAGCAUUCGCUGUACACUUUAAGAUAUCCAUCUUUUUCUUUUUAGCCCUGAUCUUUCACUUGAAAGAUUUUAUUGUAUAAAAAGUUCCACAGGUCAAUAAAUUUAGAGGAAAAUGAGUAUUUGGUCCAAAAAAAUUAAAAAUAAUUAAGAUUUUAGGGCUUUUAUUUUUUCUUUUGUAAUUGUGUAAAAAAUGGAAAAAAACAUAAAAAGCAGAACUUUAAUGUGAAGACUUUUUUGCUAUAAUCAUUAGUUUUAGAGGCAUUGUUAGUUUAGUGUGUGUGCAGAGUCCAUUUCCCACAUCUUUCCUCAAGUAUCUUCUAUUUUUAUCAUGAAUUCCCUUUUAAUCAACUGUAGGUUAUUUAAAAUAAAUUCCUACAACUUAACGGAAAAAAAAAAGUUUCUCUUCCAUCUCUAGUAAAAUUAAUUGCCUCCUUUUACCAUCUCUAGUAAAAUUAAUUAGCUUCACAGAUACCCUCUGUAGAUAAACUCCUUUAAUUUCUUUCUUCCUAACAUACAAAAACAUUCCCAAAUAUGGUUUGAUUUCCCCCAAAAAAUGUAACAAAA